ACGGAUGAGAAGCUUGCUUCUCUGAUGUUAGCGGCGGACGGGUGAGUAACACGUGGAUAACCUACCUAUAAGACUGGGAUAACUUCGGGAAACCGGAGCUAAUACCGGAUAAUAUUUUGAACCGCAUGGUUCAAAAGUGAAAGACGGUCUUGCUGUCACUUAUAGAUGGAUCCGCGCUGCAUUAGCUAGUUGGUAAGGUAACGGCUUACCAAGGCAACGAUGCAUAGCCGACCUGAGAGGGUGAUCGGCCACACUGGAACUGAGACACGGUCCAGACUCCUACGGGAGGCAGCAGUAGGGAAUCUUCCGCAAUGGGCGAAAGCCUGACGGAGCAACGCCGCGUGAGUGAUGAAGGUCUUCGGAUCGUAAAACUCUGUUAUUAGGGAAGAACAUAUGUGUAAGUAACUGUGCACAUCUUGACGGUACCUAAUCAGAAAGCCACGGCUAACUACGUGCCAGCAGCCGCGGUAAUACGUAGGUGGCAAGCGUUAUCCGGAAUUAUUGGGCGUAAAGCGCGCGUAGGCGGUUUUUUAAGUCUGAUGUGAAAGCCCACGGCUCAACCGUGGAGGGUCAUUGGAAACUGGAAAACUUGAGUGCAGAAGAGGAAAGUGGAAUUCCAUGUGUAGCGGUGAAAUGCGCAGAGAUAUGGAGGAACACC
Molecule: ribosomal RNA, 658 nt
Filed under: uncultured Staphylococcus sp.
Lineage: Bacteria; Bacillati; Bacillota; Bacilli; Caryophanales; Staphylococcaceae
Description: bacterial SSU rRNA
Rfam family: Bacterial small subunit ribosomal RNA
Source: RNAcentral